RNAcentral lists this ribosomal RNA (462 nucleotides) under uncultured bacterium. RNAcentral describes it as "partial 16S ribosomal RNA". It matches the Rfam family "Bacterial small subunit ribosomal RNA", at positions 28 to 507 of the family's 1533-position model. The record is from RNAcentral.
GACGAACGCUGGCGGCGUGCUUAACACAUGCAAGUCGAGCGGUAAGGCCUUUCGGGGUACACGAGCGGCGAACGGGUGAGUAACACGUGGGUGAUCUGCCCUGCACUUCGGGAUAAGCCUGGGAAACUGGGUCUAAUACCGGAUAUGACCUCCUAUCGCAUGGUGGGUGGUGGAAAGAUUUAUCGGUGCAGGAUGGGCCCGCGGCCUAUCAGCUUGUUGGUGGGGUAAUGGCCUACCAAGGCGACGACGGGUAGCCGACCUGAGAGGGUGACCGGCCACACUGGGACUGUGACACGGCCCAGACUCCUACGGGAGGCAGCAGUGGGGAAUAUUGCACAAUGGGCGAAAGCCUGAUGCAGCGACGCCGCGUGAGGGAUGACGGCCUUCGGGUUGUAAACCUCUUUCAGCAGGGACGAAGCGCAAGUGACGGUACCUGCAGAAGAAGCACCGGCUAACUACGUG